This 677-nucleotide ribosomal RNA is filed under the name uncultured Lactobacillus sp. RNAcentral describes it as "bacterial SSU rRNA". It matches the Rfam family "Bacterial small subunit ribosomal RNA", at positions 28 to 669 of the family's 1533-position model. The record is from RNAcentral. Lineage: Bacteria; Bacillati; Bacillota; Bacilli; Lactobacillales; Lactobacillaceae.
GACGAACGCUGGCGGCGUGCCUAAUACAUGCAAGUCGAACGAACUCUGGUAUUGAUUGGUGCUUGCAUCAUGAUUUACAUUUGAGUGAGUGGCGAACUGGUGAGUAACACGUGGGAAACCUGCCCAGAAGCGGGGGAUAACACCUGGAAACAGAUGCUAAUACCGCAUAACAACUUGGACCGCAUGGUCCGAGCUUGAAAGAUGGCUUCAGCUAUCACUUUUGGAUGGUCCCGCGGCGUAUUAGCUAGAUGGUGGGGUAACGGCUCACCAUGGCAAUGAUACGUAGCCGACCUGAGAGGGUAAUCGGCCACAUUGGGACUGAGACACGGCCCAAACUCCUACGGGAGGCAGCAGUAGGGAAUCUUCCACAAUGGACGAAAGUCUGAUGGAGCAACGCCGCGUGAGUGAAGAAGGUUUUCGGAUCGUAAAACUCUGUUGUUAGAGAAGAACAAGGAUGAGAGUAACUGUUCAUCCCUUGACGGUAUCUAACCAGAAAGCCACGGCUAACUACGUGCCAGCAGCCGCGGUAAUACGUAGGUGGCAAGCGUUGUCCGGAUUUAUUGGGCGUAAAGCGAGCGCAGGCGGUUUCUUAAGUCUGAUGUGAAAGCCCCCGGCUCAACCGGGGAGGGUCAUUGGAAAACUGGGAGACUUGAGUGCAGAAGAGGAGAGUGGAAUUC